UGGACUUCCCCACUUCUGAUAUUCUUUUCCUCUGGAGUGGAUUUUAGUUAAAACUCCCAUAUAUAAAAGCUCACCUCCACCCACUUCCAAAUUUUCUUUUGAAGUCCACUGAAGUGAAUCAUCGGGCCAUCUCCCCAUCUCCCCUUCGCGAGGCCGAACGCUGCUCUUCUUGGUCGGAAUUCUUUUGCAGCGACUGGAUCUCUCCUCCGGAAGUGACUAAACCUCUCCUCCGGCAGCGGUUGGAUCUUCCCUCCCGCAGCGGCCGGAUCUCCUCUUCGGCAGCACCUAGAUCUGCUCUCCGGUAGCACACAGAUUUCUCCUCCCACAGCUGCUCGAUCUCCCCUCUGAUAGAGUCUAGAUCUUCUGUCCGACAGCAGGUGGAUCUCACGUACGGCAAUGGCUGGAUCUUCCCUCCGGCAAGGGGCUUCAUAAAUCCCCCUAAAACCCCAAUUCCCAAAUUCGGUUUUCCCUUCCCGGCGAUCGCCAUUGGCCGCGAUUGCCAUGGGGAUGGUGCGUCGCGAGGAGAAGCUGCGAUGUACCAAGGAACCCUUCAUCGAGGAUGUCGGGCCUCGGCGAAUAAAAAGCCUUCGUUUCAGCAUGUUUUCUGGCGAUGAGAUACGGAAGUUGGCAGAGGUCCAGGUCUGGAACAACAAGCUCUACAAUGAGAGUGCUAAACCUGUUGAUCAUGGCAUUCUUGAUGCUCGGAUGGUAC
This is a long non-coding RNA of Dioscorea cayenensis subsp. rotundata (Guinea yam), 712 nucleotides long. RefSeq lists it as uncharacterized. The transcript is spliced from 3 exons. Lineage: Eukaryota; Viridiplantae; Streptophyta; Magnoliopsida; Dioscoreales; Dioscoreaceae. The record is from RefSeq and is a predicted model, not a curated record.